This 497-nucleotide ribosomal RNA is filed under the name uncultured bacterium. RNAcentral describes it as "partial 16S ribosomal RNA". It matches the Rfam family "Bacterial small subunit ribosomal RNA", at positions 28 to 507 of the family's 1533-position model. The record is from RNAcentral.
GAUGAACGCUGGCGGCGUGCCUAAUACAUGCAAGUCGAGCGAACAGACGAGGAGCUUGCUCCUCUGACGUUAGCGGCGGACGGGUGAGUAACACGUGGAUAACCUACCUAUAAGACUGGGAUAACUUCGGGAAACCGGAGCUAAUACCGGAUAAUAUAUUGAACCGCAUGGUUCAAUAGUGAAAGACGGUUUUGCUGUCACUUAUAGAUGGAUCCGCGCCGCAUUAGCUAGUUGGUAAGGUAACGGCUUACCAAGGCAACGAUGCGUAGCCGACCUGAGAGGGUGAUCGCCCACACUGGAACUGAGACACGGUCCAGACUCCUGCGGGAGGCAGCAGUAGGGAAUCUUCCGCAAUGGGCGAAAGCCUGACGGAGCAACGCCGCGUGAGUGAUGAAGGUCUUCGGAUCGUAAAACUCUGUUAUUAGGGAAGAACAAAUGUGUAAGUAACUAUGCACGUCUUGACGGUAACUAAUCAGAAAGCCACGGCUAACUACGUG